UACGUAGGGGGCAAGCGUUGUCCGGAAUCAUUGGGCGUAAAGAGCUCGUAGGCGGCUGCUCAAGUCGAAUGUGAAAACUCGAGGCUCAACCUCGAGCCUGCAUUCGAUACUGGGCGGCUAGAGUCUGGUAGGGGGAUCUGGAAUUCCUGGUGUAGCGGUGGAAUGCGCAGAUAUCAGGAGGAACACCGGUGGCGAAGGCGGGAUCCUGGGCCAGUACUGACGCUGAGGAGCGAAAGCGUGGGGAGCAAACAGG
This 253-nucleotide ribosomal RNA is filed under the name uncultured bacterium. RNAcentral describes it as "partial 16S ribosomal RNA". It matches the Rfam family "Bacterial small subunit ribosomal RNA", at positions 524 to 776 of the family's 1533-position model. The record is from RNAcentral.